UCCGUAGGUGAACCUGCGGAAGGAUCAUUACCGAAUUGUCAACAUGGGUUGUUGCUGGCCCUCCGAGGGGGGCAUGUGCACGCUCUGUUAACACAUCCACUCACACCUGUGCACCCUCUGUAGUUCUGUGGUCUGGGGGGCUCUGUCCUCCUCCCGCAGUCCUGCAUCCUUACACACACACACACUGUGACAAAAGUCUUAUGGGAUAUACGUAGCGUUUAACGCAAUACAAUACAACUUUCAGCAACGGAUCUCUUGGCUCUCGCAUCGAUGAAGAACGCAGCGAAAUGCGAUAAGUAAUGUGAAUUGCAGAAUUCAGUGAAUCAUCGAAUCUUUGAACGCACCUUGCGCCCUUUGGCUAUUCCGGAGGGCAUGCCUGUUUGAGUAUCAUGAACACCUCAACUCUCGUGGUUCUCCACAAUGAGUUUGGACCUUGGGGGUCUUGCUGGCUACAGUCGGCUCCUCUCAAAUGAAUCAGCUCACCAGUGUUCGGUGGUGCCAUGGGUGUGAUAAAUAUCUGCACCUGUGGAUUUCCAUCAGAUAGCCUUCAGUGAUAUGGGGGCUUGCUGGAGCUCAUAGAUGUCUCUCUUUGGUGGGGACAGCCUUUGAAUGUUUGAUCUCAAAUCAGGUAGGACUACCCGCUGAACUUAAGCAUAUCAAUAAGCGGAGGA
Molecule: ribosomal RNA, 671 nt
Filed under: Tomentella sp.
Lineage: Eukaryota; Fungi; Basidiomycota; Agaricomycetes; Thelephorales; Thelephoraceae
Description: eukaryotic LSU rRNA
Rfam family: 5.8S ribosomal RNA (bases 236-390)
Source: RNAcentral